RNAcentral lists this ribosomal RNA (588 nucleotides) under uncultured bacterium. RNAcentral's name for it is "partial 16S ribosomal RNA". It matches the Rfam family "Bacterial small subunit ribosomal RNA", at positions 355 to 1376 of the family's 1533-position model. The record is from RNAcentral.
UGGGGAAUAUUAGACAAUGGGCGCAAGCCUGAUCCAGCAAUGCCGCGUGUGUGAAGAAGGCCUUCGGGUUGUAAAGCACUUUUAUCAGGAGCGAAACGCUGUCGGCUAAUACCCGGCGGAACUGACGGUACCUGAGGAAUAAGCACCGGCUAACUUCGUGCCAGCAGCCGCGGUAAUACGAAGGGUGCAAGCGUUAAUCGGAAUUACUGGGCGUAAAGCGUGCGUAGGCGGUUUCUUAAGUCUGCUGUGAAAUCCCCGGGCUCAACCUGGGAAUGGCAGUGGAUACUGGGAGGCUAGAGUGUGUCAGAGGGUGGUGGAAUUCCCGGUGUAGCGGUGAAAUGCGUAGAGAUCGGGAGGAACAUCAGUGGCGAAGGCGGCCACCUGGGACAACACUGACGCUGAGGCACGAAAGCGUGGGGAGCAAACAGGAUUAGAUACCCUGGUAGUCCACGCCCUAAACGAUGCGAACUGGAUGUUGGUCUCAACUCGGAGAUCAGUGUCGAAGCUAACGCGUUAAGUUCGCCGCCUGGGGAGUACGGUCGCAAGACUGAAACUCAAAUGAAUUGACGGGGUCAUAGCUGUUUCCUG